UUCCAAAUUCGAUUUUUCAUUUUUGCCCCCUUGCUAAACUUCAUUUUUGCACAUUAUUAUGGCAUUGGUUAGAAAAGCGUUGAGCUUUCGGAGAGGGGGAAGGUACAAUGUACAAGAGGCAAAAGAAAAUAGGUUCCCCACCAGUUCGUACAAACGAAUUGAAACUUUAAAUUCAGAAGAAAAAAAUGUAAAACAAAAUGAACAAACGGUCAGUGUCACGCAAGUUUCAGAAACCGUUCGAGUGCGAAUGCGUAGAGGAGGGCAAUCUGACUCCAGCUUAAAGGUUGCCAGUUUGCUGCGUAAUACGUUCGGCAGCAUUAGACAGAAAAUGCGCUCUUCAAUAAGACGUAGAAAGCGACUUAACAGUGCGCCAAACACUCCAGCAAGCACACUAAGAAGGUCAAUGAGAAUUCAGAAUCGCACACCAAAGGAGCCAAAUGUGGUAGAAUCUCCUCAGUCAGUCAGGUUGAAUAGGUUUCAACCAAAGAGGUGUAACUUCAGCAGUCCUGGUCAACUCCAUAGAGAUAUUGAUGCUGUAUCACAUGGAAUCCAAUCGCUGUCUAAUGUGGGAAAACAGACAAACAAGAUCAUCGAAAGGCAAAAUCGGUAAAGAGGCCAUUAAUCUACGAGAUGAUGUUAUUGUGGCUCGCUCGGUGCAUGAGGAAAAGGGUGUGUCCAGCUGCAGUGUAUGGAAUCUUUACUUAUUGGACUGCUUUUUAAAAAACUGCCAUAUGUUACUUUUAUGUGUUGGCUUGUAGGCUGUUCAGAGCUCCCUAAAUUGUUUAGUAAGGUUUAAAUUGAAUAGUUUAGAAGUAAACCCAAUGGUCCAUCUAAUUCAAUACACCAAUCGGUAGGCCGACUGGGGCAACAAUGUGGCAGAUAAUACUGAGAUAUGAAAGACACCAAAGAAGUGCCUUUCACCCUUACCACACAUGCCUUCAAAUGUCUGGGGAAAGGAUUCUAUUGGCCCUGAGGCCACAAUACUAAAAUAUAUAUUCAAUUUCAUGGACCAGUGUAAAAAUUUGUUGAAAAUUCUUUUUAUCUUUGACCUUUUGGGAUCCAUCAGCGGGGUAGAGUUAGUUGAUAAGUUAUCAGAAAGUCAAUCAAACCACAGUUUAUGACAAAGUUUACCAGGUAUGUAGCAUCCAUGGGUUUUUUUCCCAUUCAAUUCAAUGUACAUGUACAUGUAUUUAGAAUGUGCUUGCUUUAAUUCUCCAUCUUUCACAGUGUCUGGUAGUGGUGGUGUUUCUAUGCAAUGUACCAGUAUUUGAAGUUGCUUUUCUACUCCUUUCCUCAUUCUCUUCCUCCCUCUACAGGUUGCUUGGUCUGCCAGCUUUGUCAUGUUUGCUAUACAAUGUUAGGGAGGUGCAUUUAAUGUACAUGAAUCUUUGUUUUAUGCUGUUAAACUGUCUUAUCUUUGUUUUGUAUACAUUGAUAAGUAAAAAAACACUAAAUUGUUGUAAGUUCCAGAAACAAUAUUGCAUGUGUAUUUUGUAGAUAUAUGUAAAUGAGAUGCCAAUGGCAGUGCCAAAAAAAGAAGCUCAUUAUUUGAUUAAGAAGUUUUCAAAUGUUACUGUCACAUUUAUGAUACUAUCAGCUGGUUGAAGAUAAAAUUCAGUCUUCUUAUGUCAAUGUUCCUUGAAACUCUGUUGAUGUUGAGUCUGAUCGUAUUGCCCACUCAUAUAAUUGCCCAAUUGCAGACAUUCAGACAUGGAAGUCCAAGAUUGGUAUAAGAGUUAUGAUGGUCGAAGGAAGUAUCACUGGAAAUCUCGUGUCGUGUAUGGUUCUCGAGAGGUUCUUAUAUAGAGUGUUACCAUGUGACUUACGGUUUUGGACAAAUUAGAUACAGUACUUAUGUUAUGUCUGUCAAUCCAAAAAACCAAGGUCCAUUUACUUUUGAUAAAAAAACCCUGUGUUUAUAGCGGAUCUGGUCAACCAUUACAGGGAUAGGAGGAACUUCAUAGCCUAGUUAAUGCUCAGAGUUGUUGAGAACAGCACUUUGAGCGGGACAAGACACUUUAAUUGUUUGUAUUGUGUCAGGAUGGAAGUAGUUUCAAUUGUAUGUAAUUUUCUUAGUUUAUUGAGUCAUGUAUGUACAAGUACAUAUUUGUAGUACUCGUUUUAAAAACUUGGCAUUAUCUGUUCAACAGUGCAGUUGGUGAUAUUGUUUCUUGCCCCGAGUUUUAACAAUUUGAAAAGAUUGCGAGCUAUCUGAAGUCAAACAUUUACCACGCAGAUCCACAUUUGAGAUCAGGUAGAAAAUGUCAAGCCGUACAAAGUUUUGUAUCUGCAUUUUGUUGUUGUUUUUCGGAAUACUUUUUUGUUUAGAAUCUCGAGUAUUAUUGCCAAUAUAUUGUAAGUAAUUGCUUAUGAAAUUGUAAGACUACAAAAUGCUUUUAUCAUGUU
Molecule: long non-coding RNA, 2406 nt
Organism: Lineus longissimus
Lineage: Eukaryota; Metazoa; Nemertea; Pilidiophora; Heteronemertea; Lineidae
Exons: 3
Source: RefSeq, a predicted model, not a curated record